CCCUAGGUGAAGCUGAAGUCAACAGAUAGUUUGGCACAUUGGCAUCCAGGGCCUCCAAUAGUAGUGUUUCAGCCCCUGCUGUGAGCUCGUGACUGCGGGGUGAUGGUCAGGACAUGGAAUCACUUCUGUUACCAGUCUUGCUGACAGAGGCUCAGAGUAUUUUCUGAAAAAGUCCUGCAGUGCAGAGGAGUCAAACAUUUGAUCACAUGCAGCAGCACAAGAUAGAUGGAGUACAGCUGACUCAACAGCUACAGGGGAUUUGGAAUGGAAACAAUCACUUGCUUGAAGGAAACAAUGUUAUCCAACUUGUGGUGUCAGUCAGCCUAUUCCCACAGUCACUGCAUUGAUGGAGGAAAAUUUUGUUUAUAAAGAAGGGGGAGAUGUGUGGAAUCCUGCACAAGAAGCUGCACCAGUAGACUUGGACGAGAGCCCAGACAUCUGGACUCUUAUCAGCCACAAACCCUGGGAGAAGUGAGCGGGACAAGUCGGGAAGAACAGGAAAAAGAACAUCAGGUGGAACCGAAGAAAGAGCAUAAAGGUAAUUUCUGAGGACUGUACAUUUGGAAACAGCAGGAUGCUUAGGCAAGAUAAAGAAUGUGUAGUCAAGGGGAAGUGGAAAUGACAAUGCGGCGAGUAGUGAUAGCAGAGAACUAUGUUUAGAAAUAAUUACUCAAGCAAAGGCGUGUUGACAGUAAUGUGAUUGGCUGGAAGAGUGCGUGAUCAGUAAGACUUUUUUGUGAUCAAAAAGUAGCAAAAGAAUUAACUGCUGCUAAGCACUAGGCAGAAUACUAUAAAAACCUGUAAGCUCACUCAAUAAAGGAUUUUGUUUGUAGCCAGAAAUGGAAUCUAUGCCUCAGCUGACACAAGAUCAGGCAUGGCAACGGAUGCCAUCCCAUUGAAAGGACGACCCGUGUGCAGUAGGGAC
Molecule: long non-coding RNA, 925 nt
Filed under: Melopsittacus undulatus (budgerigar)
Lineage: Eukaryota; Metazoa; Chordata; Aves; Psittaciformes; Psittaculidae
Description: lncRNA (ENSMUNG00000004988.2)
Source: RNAcentral